AGGGUUGCCAACCCGCGAGGGGGAGCUAAUCCCGUAAAACCAGUCGUAGUCCGGAUCGCAGUCUGCAACUCGACUGCGUGAAGUCGGAAUCGCUAGUAAUCGCGGAUCAGAAUGUCGCGGUGAAUACGUUCCCGGGUCUUGUACACACCGCCCGUCACACCAUGGGAGCGGGUUCUGCCAGAAGUAGUUAGCCUAACCGCAAGGAGGGCGAUUACCACGGCAGGGUUCGUGACUGGGGUGAGGUCGUAACAAGGUAACCA
This 260-nucleotide ribosomal RNA is filed under the name uncultured bacterium. RNAcentral's name for it is "partial 16S ribosomal RNA". It matches the Rfam family "Bacterial small subunit ribosomal RNA", at positions 1243 to 1502 of the family's 1533-position model. The record is from RNAcentral.